This 254-nucleotide ribosomal RNA is filed under the name uncultured bacterium. Its description in RNAcentral is "partial 16S ribosomal RNA". It matches the Rfam family "Bacterial small subunit ribosomal RNA", at positions 524 to 777 of the family's 1533-position model. The record is from RNAcentral.
UACGAAGGGGGCUAGCGUUGCUCGGAAUCACUGGGCGUAAAGCGCACGUAGGCGGAUCGUUAAGUCAGGGGUGAAAUCCUGGAGCUCAACUCCAGAACUGCCCUUGAUACUGGCGACCUUGAGUUCGGGAGAGGUGAGUGGAACUGCGAGUGUAGAGGUGAAAUUCGUAGAUAUUCGCAAGAACACCAGUGGCGAAGGCGGCUCACUGGCCCGAUACUGACGCUGAGGUGCGAAAGCGUGGGGAGCAAACAGGG